GCGUUGGAUGUAGCUAAAAAGGGUCGUCCUAGGAUGAUGGGAAUUUGAUUCUUCGGGUUCCUAACCGGCUCGGUCUCUAGGACGACAAAAUCUACGGGAAACACAAAAUCACCUACUUUAAUUAGCACAUCCUCGAUCAUUCCCUUAGGAAUUUUCACGGAUCGAUCGGCUAAUUGAAGUGUGACAUUGGUUUGUCGGAGCUCCCCUAAACCUAA
This 215-nucleotide long non-coding RNA is filed under the name Daucus carota (carrot). RNAcentral describes it as "long non-coding RNA (DCAR_LNC002027)". Lineage: Eukaryota; Viridiplantae; Streptophyta; Magnoliopsida; Apiales; Apiaceae. The record is from RNAcentral.